GACGAACGCUGGCGGCGUGCUUAACACAUGCAAGUCGAACGGAAAGGCCCUGCUUUUGUGCGGUGCUCGAGUGGCGAACGGGUGAGUAACACGUGAGUAACCUGUCCCUGCCUUAGGGAUAUCUUAAGGAAACUGGGGCUCUUACAGGCUAGGAGCUACUGCUGCAUGGUGGGGGUUGGAAAGUUUCGGUGGUUGGGGAUGGAAUCGCGGCUUAUCAGCUGGAUGGUGGGGUAGUGGCUUACCAAGGCUUUGAGGGCUAGCCGGCCUGGGAGGGUGGACAGCCACAUUGGGACUGAGAGACGGCCCAGACUCCAACGGGAGGCAGCGGUGGGGAGUAUUGCACAAUGGGCGGAAGCCUGAUGCAGCAACGCCGCGUGCGGGAUGACGUCCUUCGGGUUGUAAACCGCUGUCGCCUGUGACGAGGCGUGAGUGACGGUAAUGGGUAAAGAAGCACCGGCUAACUACGUG
Molecule: ribosomal RNA, 468 nt
Filed under: uncultured bacterium
Lineage: Bacteria
Description: partial 16S ribosomal RNA
Rfam family: Bacterial small subunit ribosomal RNA
Source: RNAcentral